This 74-nucleotide transfer RNA is filed under the name Chryseobacterium sp. BLS98. RNAcentral's name for it is "tRNA-Trp". It matches the Rfam family "tRNA". Rfam says of the family: Transfer RNA (tRNA) molecules are approximately 80 nucleotides in length. Their secondary structure includes four short double-helical elements and three loops (D, anti-codon, and T loops). The record is from RNAcentral. Lineage: Bacteria; Pseudomonadati; Bacteroidota; Flavobacteriia; Flavobacteriales; Weeksellaceae.
ACUCUGAUAGUGUAAUGGCAGCAUCUCAGUCUCCAAAACUUAUGGUAUAGGUUCGAAUCCUGUUCGGAGUGCAA